GAUGAACGCUGGCGGCGUGCCUAAUACAUGCAAGUAGAACGCUGAAGGAGGAGCUUGCUCUUCUGGAUGAGUUGCGCACGGGUGAGUAACGCGUAGGUAACCUGCCUGGUAGCGGGGGAUAACUAUUGGAAACGAUAGCUAAUACCGCAUGACAACAGUUAUUGCAUGAUAACUGUUUAAAAGGGGCAACUGCUCCACUACCAGAUGGACCUGCGUUGUAUUAGCGAGUUGGUGAGGUAAAGGCUCACCAACGCGACGAUACAGAGCCGAGCUGAGAGGGGGAACGGCCACACUGGGACUGGGAAACGGCCCAGACUCCUACGGGAGGCAGCAGGAGGGGAUCAUCGGCAAUGGACGGAAGGCUGACCGAACAACGGCGCGGGAGGGAAGAAGGGUUUCGGAUCGGAAAGGUCUGUUGUAAGAGAAGAACGAGUAGGAGAGUGGAAAGUUCACGCUGUGACGGUAUCUUAACAGAAAGGGACGGCUAACUACGUG
Molecule: ribosomal RNA, 495 nt
Filed under: uncultured bacterium
Lineage: Bacteria
Description: partial 16S ribosomal RNA
Rfam family: Bacterial small subunit ribosomal RNA
Source: RNAcentral